UACAAUAAAACUUGUCCUUGUUGAUAAAAUAGACUUUGAAAGUGUUGAUGAAUCCACCGCUACCUUACUGUGCGCUCCGCGUCGUGCUGGGUGUUGGGUAUCACAAUGAAAGGACCAGGGCUCAGAAGUUCCCAAAAUUGAACUGGGAAGAAAAACGUGCAAGGAACUCAUGAUUCCUUAGACUUAGAGCCGACUGCUCUUCCAGUAUUCUAAAGCGCGGGACUGUACGGUGCCUUUAAGGUUCUAGAAGGCAAAUGGCUCCGAAAAUCUCCAAUGUUUUGGUGUUUCAGUGUUCUGCUUUUCCUCUGUCCUGCUUUGCUCUCCAUUACAGUACCCUGACGGUGGCCAAUUACUGGGUUAUGGUCAUUUCAGUAUCCCCAGCAUUUGACGCUCUCCUGGACUCCUGGAAUUGUUAGGAGUUCUAGAAGAGGGAUGGAAUGCAAACAACAGCUCCCUUCCUCUCCAGGAAGCAGAGACCUGAAGCCCACGAUUGUGGUUUUUGAAGACUGAGCUCUCUCUGCUCUUGAGUAAGGAGGUCCAAGAUUUCUCCUUGAUAAAAAUGUGGACUGCAAUGCUAGUUAAAAGAAGCAAUUGGGGCUUUUGGUAUAGAGAAAUAUUUGGAAGCUGAAGAGACUGAGGUGGACUGGAAAAGCUUCGGAGAUGCCAAACAUCACAACUUAGAGACAGGAAAGUGGUCUGAAAAUAUAGCAGCUGCCUGGAGGUGCCAGGUGAGUGGGCUUGGAGAAGAGCCACGAUGAGGGCCACUGUUGGAGCCAUACUGAACAAACUCUUCACAGCCCUCACCGGAGGACUUUGCAGUUAAGUGGCAAUUCUGCCUCAUGUAGACAAAUAAUCAUGGGAGGUGAUUUGCAGCCUGUGAUCAAGUUCUUUUUUAUCCAAGCAAAAAUAAAUGAUUCCUGAAAAUUAUCAAAAUAAUCAAACACAAGCAGAGUCUGAGAAACUGUCACAGCCAAGAGGAAUCUUAAGGUGACAUGAUGGCUAAAGGCAAUGUGGUACUCUAAAUGGGAUCCUGGAAAAGAAAAAGAACAUUGGGGGAAAACUACAGACAUCUGAAUAAAGUAGAGACUUUAGUUAAUAAUAAUGUAUCAGUAUUGGUUUGUUAAUUAUAAUUAUAUAGACCAUACUAAGAUAAGAUGUUAAUAAUAUGAGAAAUUGGGUGUGAAGUAUAUCCAAUGUAUCUAUCUUUCCAAUGUCUUUGUAAAUCUAAAAUAGUUCUAAAAUUAAAGUUUAUUUAAAAAGAAAGAGAAAGAGAAAAACACAGACUAACCUGGGAGGAUGUGUCCUCCAAAACCCUCAGGACCCUGGAAGCACCCAGGAGACCCGAACUCAUGAAUUCCUUGAGUAUAGGAAUUGAUUCAUGCUGACAUUCUCCGGGGCCAGUGCACAGUAUCUGGUUUUAAUAGUUACUGAAUUAAAAUCUUUUUCCAGUAAGGAAGAAGCAAGAGGCAAUAAAGAGAAUGUUUUUCUUCUGAUGAUAAAUAAAACUGCAAACUAUAUUUUGUGUACUUAAGUUGAUUGAAAAUUUUGUAGGGAUAUCCAGUUCAACAGAGUUUACCCUGACAUUUGGAAAAAAACUGUGCUCUUAAUGCAGAAAGUAACACAAGACUCCAUUCUUUAAGAAUACUGCUAUUUUGCCAGAUGCAGUGGCUCACGCCUGUAAUCCCAGAACUUUGGGAG
Molecule: long non-coding RNA, 1698 nt
Filed under: Macaca mulatta (Rhesus monkey)
Lineage: Eukaryota; Metazoa; Chordata; Mammalia; Primates; Cercopithecidae
Description: lncRNA (ENSMMUG00000047127.2)
Source: RNAcentral